GGGUCCGUACCGGUUUCGACAGGUUGGCGAAAGCUGCUCUGUGAUUCAGGUCGAGAGUGAGUCUCCUCUCGCAAAUCAAAGGCUCAAAACAAAAGUAAAUGCGAACAACAUCGUAUCUUUCGCUCGUAAGCCCGUUGCAGCUAUUGCAUAGGUAAAACACCUCUUAUAGGUUCGAGCCUCCCUAGUCUGAUUCCGUUAAGGACUUCGGAGCUAACCCCAACGGAUGCGCUCAUUAGUUACCUCUGGUUGAUUAAUUAGCAAAGACCUCACCAGAGCAUCCUGCCGUUCGGGAUAAUGAACGUUCCCCGUCCCGAGGGUAAAAGGGACUAAACCUGUGAAUGAGCGGGGGGUCAAUACCCAGUCUGGACAGCAGUUCGACUCUGCUCGGAUCCACUA
This 396-nucleotide transfer-messenger RNA is filed under the name Nostocaceae. RNAcentral's name for it is "Richelia intracellularis_B Standard tmRNA". It matches the Rfam family "transfer-messenger RNA". From Rfam's summary of the family: Bacterial tmRNA, also known as 10Sa RNA or SsrA, is named for its dual tRNA and mRNA-like properties. Lineage: Bacteria; Bacillati; Cyanobacteriota; Cyanophyceae; Nostocales. The record is from RNAcentral.